RNAcentral lists this small nuclear RNA (23 nucleotides) under Arabidopsis thaliana (thale cress). RNAcentral's name for it is "snRNA_11939". Lineage: Eukaryota; Viridiplantae; Streptophyta; Magnoliopsida; Brassicales; Brassicaceae. The record is from RNAcentral.
AGCCGGAGGUAGGGUCCAGCGGC